This 405-nucleotide long non-coding RNA is filed under the name Callithrix jacchus (white-tufted-ear marmoset). RNAcentral describes it as "lncRNA (ENSCJAG00000066736.2)". The record is from RNAcentral. Lineage: Eukaryota; Metazoa; Chordata; Mammalia; Primates; Cebidae.
AUGGAGUCUCUCCCGGUAGCCCAGGCUGAGGUGCACUGGUGCAAUCUCUGCUCACUGCACCCUUCGUCUCCUGGGUUCAAGCAAUUCUUCUGCCUCAGCUUCCCGAGCAGCUGGGACUACAGGCGCGUGCCACCACACCCAGGCUGCUCACUCUUAGAAUCCAGCCACCAUACUGUGAGGAAGCCCAAUUUAGCCUAUGCAGAGGAACUAGUGAGAGGCCACGUGGAGGUGCUUCAGUUGACAGCCCCAGGGAGCACAGUGCUUGUCCAGACCCACCCAGCUGGGAGGGGACAGAGGAAGAAUUUGAGCCCAGGGUCUUACUCUGCUUGUCCAGGUGGUGCAAUCUUGGUUCACUGCAGCCUCCACCUCCCAGGCUCAGGUGAUCCUCUGAGCUCAGUCUCUUGA